CGGGGCGUAGCGCAGCCUGGUAGCGCACGUGCAUGGGGUGCACGGGGUCGGAGGUUCAAAUCCUCUCGCCCCGA
Desulfuromonas soudanensis is the source of this 74-nucleotide transfer RNA. It matches the Rfam family "tRNA". Rfam says of the family: Transfer RNA (tRNA) molecules are approximately 80 nucleotides in length. Their secondary structure includes four short double-helical elements and three loops (D, anti-codon, and T loops). NCBI's taxonomy places the organism in Bacteria, Pseudomonadati, Thermodesulfobacteriota, Desulfuromonadia, Desulfuromonadales, Desulfuromonadaceae. The record is from Rfam.